Molecule: small RNA, 28 nt
Filed under: Bombyx mori (domestic silkworm)
Lineage: Eukaryota; Metazoa; Arthropoda; Insecta; Lepidoptera; Bombycidae
Description: ovarian small RNA-19455
Source: RNAcentral
UAAGUUAUCGGGGCCUCUACGAGCAAUG